Molecule: non-coding RNA, 67 nt
Organism: Parelaphostrongylus tenuis
Lineage: Eukaryota; Metazoa; Nematoda; Chromadorea; Rhabditida; Metastrongylidae
Source: the annotation of a GenBank genome assembly
GCGUCGGUGGUGCAACGGUUAAGCACUUGCUCAGAGCAAGAUCUGGGUUCGAAUCCCGGCUGACGCA